GCUGCUCAGAAAUGCACACUGCGACUGGUGAGCAGUAGGUGAUGUUUAUCAAAGGAUAAGCGGCUAAGAUGUAGAA
RNAcentral lists this ribozyme (76 nucleotides) under Ruminococcus sp. 5_1_39BFAA. Its description in RNAcentral is "HDV ribozyme from F. prausnitzii". It matches the Rfam family "HDV ribozyme from F. prausnitzii". RNAcentral also lists the same sequence under 1 other name. Lineage: Bacteria; Bacillati; Bacillota; Clostridia; Eubacteriales; Oscillospiraceae. The record is from Rfam by way of RNAcentral.